UCAGCUCUCUUUGCCUUUUGGCUUAGAUCAAGUGUAGUAGCUGUUCUUUUUAGUUUAAUCUCUAGAACGCCCCUACGGGGGCACUUCUUUUGAUUAAGCUAGUUUUUGGCAAUCGGCUGCGCGCCGCUCUGGGCUCCGCCUAACCGUCGCCGGCCACAGUGUCGCCAGUAUUGCACUGUAUCUGGCUGAUGCGAAGGGCG
This is a non-coding RNA of Diplodia corticola, 200 nucleotides long. The record is from Rfam. Lineage: Eukaryota; Fungi; Ascomycota; Dothideomycetes; Botryosphaeriales; Botryosphaeriaceae.